UUUGAGAUGCCUUAGCAUUACUUGCAACAUAACAGUCAAUUUCUUCAUUUUUUGUUACUUUGAACAUUUUACAAAAGCAGCGAUUUGCCAUUCAAUUGAUGAGAGGGAUUAACUGCUGUCCCCUUAUUAAAUAUUUAAACGAAAGACAAGCAAAAAGAAAACGCUAUUAGAAAAUCAACAUAAUGGAAUUAUUUGGGGACGUAAGAAUAAGGGCAAAGACAAAUAAUAGGCCUCUAUCCACCGUCCAUUUGGUGUGAUUUCCAUGAUGAUCUUCUUCAGCAUUCUUAGAGGACCAACCAUGACCCCCCAUUGAACCACUGGCCGUGACCCAAGACAGAACCUCCGUCUCUUGUUCCCUAGCCGAACCGUGCAAACCCUCCGCCGCCUCGACCGCCUUCGCGCACUGCCGCGGCACCACCCGACUAACAAGGCGGAAUUUGACAACAUUGAUACACUUAAAGAACUUCUCUUCAACAUUUUUGUGAAAGUGUUUUUUGCUUGUGUUUCUUAUAUAGUUGGCUUAAAGUUU
This 529-nucleotide long non-coding RNA is filed under the name Citrus maxima (pomelo). Its description in RNAcentral is "long non-coding RNA (CMAX_LNC003126)". Lineage: Eukaryota; Viridiplantae; Streptophyta; Magnoliopsida; Sapindales; Rutaceae. The record is from RNAcentral.